Molecule: non-coding RNA, 353 nt
Organism: Leptonychotes weddellii (Weddell seal)
Lineage: Eukaryota; Metazoa; Chordata; Mammalia; Carnivora; Phocidae
Source: RefSeq, a predicted model, not a curated record
UCUUCCAGCUUGAUGCCGAGCACAAGGCUGGGAGGCAGCAGAGAGCCUGGCAUGCAGGGGAGAGGAAGCUGGUGCCGUCCAAGGCCCCAGCUCCUGCAUCUGUCCCACUAGUGCGUCGACCCCCGGCAUCAUUUUAGAAAUGACUCAUCAUACCUGAAGCCUGUGGGUUCAGAAGACGCAUUUGAUCAGACCCAACCUUUGGAAGACCCACUCGGCAAUUUCCCACUUUGUGUCCUGAGACUAGGAACCCAGCGGUAGAACUCUUUGGAAAAUGAACUAAAGGAUGCCGCCCACGGGGAGCACCGCCUGAGACUGCAUGAUGCCGGCCUUCCUGCAAGGGCCUGGCAGCCUGA